CUCUGGAGAUCCCUGCUUACUUGAAGCUUUUUGAAGUAAUGACUUCCCAAUCCCAAGGGGACAGAACACUUGAGCCUCAACAGUUCCUGGGAUCACGGAGCAUCAGCUGGCACUGAGGUAUUCUUGGGAGGACCCUGCCCUAGUCUGAAGAGCCCAGGAGCGAAGACCACUGUCUAUGUUAUUGUUAAAGGAAGCCAAGCCAGCAAAGACAGAAAUUUCACCUGGAAUUGAAACUGCGGCAGUGCCUUUGGCAUGGGCAGGGGAGGUGCCUGGAAGAUCAAAAAGAACUGAGCCAGUUAAGGAUAGACAAGCCAGGAUUCGUACCACACAUCCAUUCCAACUGAGAGGCUUGGUGUAUGUCAAGUCCUGGACAUCCAAAACACUGCAAGAGAAGUGGAAAGGACCCUUCCAAGUUCUACUGACUGCCUACACUCUAGUGAAACUAGAAGGAAAAGAACCCUGGAUUCAUUAUUCUCAGAUUAAGAAGAUGCCUUCCAUGUAGAAAACUGAACAGACUACUUCGCUGUUGAAAGUUAACUUAAAUAAGUAAGCAUAGUGUAUAAAGUAACUUUGCUCACAGGAAUUUGCUUUGUAGGCUGUGAAGGACAGAAAAGUAAUGUACAUUUACAAAUAGUAGGCAGACUAGCUAAUGUAACUAAUUCCUCUACUGGAUAUGUACUCAGUUACCAAGGAGCAUACAGAUACAGUAUCCACUAGCAGUAACAUUGUCAAACCAGACAGAAAUAAACAGAACUGAGGACAACAACAGCUGUCUGGUAUGUGUUGAUAUGGAAAACAAAAAUGAAUCCAGAACUAAAAAUGCACAGCAAUUUCCAUUGUUUAUGGUCUUAUGGGGAGAGAACUGAACAAACAGCACAAGCCUCGGGGUAAAUUUACCAGGCAGAUCCACGUGUAGGACCAAACUGAAUCAUUCUAUACCUUCAUUUUGCAAUUUUACGCAGGGCCUAACCAAACAAUUCACCAAAAAUAUGAGAAGAGACACUUAUAGACAUCAGGUGUUUCCUUAUAGCUAUCUUUUCUAUGCAUACCAUGCUGUCUCUGUAGCAUGUAAAACCAGUGGCUGUUCCCCAAGGAGCCUACAUCUUUGUCCAGUGACUUCUGUUGCCUGGCUCCUUUUUAACAAUCCUGCAUGCAUCUCAAUUUAUGGAAUUUGCCUCAGCUUUCAUUAUGUCAGUUAUACAAAAGCAUUCAGGAUUUAAACAGUUCAACUACCACUCUCUUAGUUUAUAGAGCUAGUAGGUACUCUCCUAAUGGAAUAUGAUGUCUACUUUCUAAUUCACAAUGGCUUGAUUCAAAGAAGAGCUCCCAAGGAGUGGAACCUAGCCCAUAAAUGGAGAUAUUGAAAUGGAAUGUUAGAAUCAUUAAGGUUGGAAAAGACCACUAAGAUCAUCAUGUCCAACCAUCAAACCAUCACCACUGUGCCCGCUAAUCCAUGUCCCUAAGUGCCACAUCUACCCUUUUCUUGAAAGCCACCAGGAACAGUGACUCCACCACUUCCCUGGACAGCCUGUUCCAUUGUUUGACCACUCUUUCAGAGAAUGAAUUUUUCAGAAUAUACAGACUGAACCUCUCCCUGCCACAAAUUAAUGCC
This is a long non-coding RNA of Numida meleagris (helmeted guineafowl), 1612 nucleotides long. RefSeq lists it as uncharacterized. The record is from RefSeq and is a predicted model, not a curated record. NCBI's taxonomy places the organism in Eukaryota, Metazoa, Chordata, Aves, Galliformes, Numididae. The transcript is spliced from 3 exons.